GGGCGAAAGCCUGACGGAGNACGCCGCGUGAGGGAUGAAGGCCUCUGGGCUGUAAACCUCUUUUCUCAAGGAAGAAGAUCUGACGGUACUUGAGGAAUAAGCCACGGCUAAUUCCGUGCCAGCAGCCGCGGUAAUACGGGAGUGGCAAGCGUUAUCCGGAAUUAUUGGGCGUAAAGCGUCCGCAGGCGGCCCUUCAAGUCUGCUGUUAAAACGUGGAGCUUAACUCCAUCAUGGCAGUGGAAACUGUUGGGCUUGAGUGUGGUAGGGGCAGAGGGAAUUCCCGGUGUAGCGGUGAAAUGCGUAGAUAUCGGGAAGAACACCAGUGGCGAAGGCGCUCUGCUGGGCCAUAACUGACGCUCAUGGACGAAAGCCAGGGGAGCGAAAGGGAUUAGAUACCCCUGUAGUCCUGGCCGUAAACGAUGAACACUAGGUGUCGGGGGAAUCGACCCCCUCGGUGUCGUAGCCAACGCGUUAAGUGUUCCGCCUGGGGAGUACGCACGCAAGUGUGAAACUCAAAGGAAUUGACGGGGGCCCGCACAAGCGGUGGAGUAUGUGGUUUAAUUCGAUGCAACGCGAAGAACCUUACCAGGGUUUGACAUCCUGCGAACCUCUUGGAAACGAGAGGGUGCCUUCGGGAGCGCAGUGACAGGUGGUGCAUGGCUGUCSUCAG
RNAcentral lists this ribosomal RNA (670 nucleotides) under uncultured marine bacterium. RNAcentral describes it as "bacterial SSU rRNA". It matches the Rfam family "Bacterial small subunit ribosomal RNA", at positions 373 to 1058 of the family's 1533-position model. The record is from RNAcentral.